RNAcentral lists this ribosomal RNA (167 nucleotides) under Echinops telfairi (small Madagascar hedgehog). RNAcentral describes it as "partial 12S rRNA". The record is from RNAcentral. Lineage: Eukaryota; Metazoa; Chordata; Mammalia; Afrosoricida; Tenrecidae.
CACCGCGGUCAUACGAAGGACUUGAACUAAUAAAUACCGGCGUAAAGCGUGAUUAAGAUCUUUAAACAAUAAAACAAAAACUAUUCUAUGCCGUAAAAAGCCAGAGAAUACUUAUAAUAAAUAACGAAGGUAAUUUUAUAAUUUCUGAACCCACGAUAGCUAAGAAA